Long non-coding RNA from Temnothorax curvispinosus, 732 nucleotides. RefSeq lists it as uncharacterized. NCBI's taxonomy places the organism in Eukaryota, Metazoa, Arthropoda, Insecta, Hymenoptera, Formicidae. The transcript has 3 exons. The record is from RefSeq and is a predicted model, not a curated record.
GACGCUUGUGUCGACUUGAGUCGCUAAAUGAAAAGCACACAAUAGAUACUUACAUACAGUAAUUUGAUAAAAAAAAAGAAAAGAAGAAGUAACCUGAAAGAAGAUAAACAUGGCAAUAAAACUAUUUCAAUGAAGAACUUGCAGUCAUUGCAAGCUGUUGGAAAAAUAGUUUUGACGAAGGUUGAUACAAAUAACUAUAAUCAUCUGCAAGAAAAAAUGGAUUCUGUCGUCUCUCAACAAAAUAGUCAUACUAAUGAACAACUAAAUCAAAGGAAAAACAGAUGUAACAAUAGUUUCACAAGAAUCUCAGGAUAAAUUUAUAUGGACAAAACAAGCCACUUUUGCGCUUUUAUCUGCUUAUGAAGCUCGAAAUAUUGAAACAGAUACUACAAAAAAAAAAAUAAAAAAUUUUGGCAGUCAAUAACUAUUGAGCUUAAUGAACUAUCACUAUUUAAUGUUCCAUUAACAGGUGAUCAAGUAAGAUGGAAAUUUAGUGCGCUAAAAAAUCGUAUAAUAAAAAGAAAAAUCGUACAAGUGGAAAUGCUCCAAAGAUCUUUGAUGACGUUGAAGAACUAAUGGAUAUUUUGGGUGAUAAAAAUAGUAAUUUUAAUAAAGAAAAUAGCUUUAAUUCACCAAUAUUGGAGCAUAAUGUAUCCAAUCAGCAUGAAGUUCAAAAUGCAACAACUGAUUGUGAGUUACAAAAUGUUAAUAUGGAGCAAGAAUCGAAUAGUA